AUUUAUGUAGUUUAUAAAAAACAUUUUAUUUUCAAUAAAAAAAUAAGCUAAGGCUUUGUAAAUA
Molecule: transfer RNA, 64 nt
Filed under: Macrosaldula sp. PJ-2017
Lineage: Eukaryota; Metazoa; Arthropoda; Insecta; Hemiptera; Saldidae
Description: tRNA-Glu
Source: RNAcentral